This 254-nucleotide ribosomal RNA is filed under the name uncultured bacterium. Its description in RNAcentral is "partial 16S ribosomal RNA". It matches the Rfam family "Bacterial small subunit ribosomal RNA", at positions 524 to 776 of the family's 1533-position model. The record is from RNAcentral.
UACGUAGGGUGCGAGCGUUUAAUCGGAAUUACUGGGCGUAAAGCGUGCGCAGGCGGCUUCGCAAGUCAGGCGUGAAAUCCCCGGGCUUAACCUGGGAAUGGCGUCUGAAACUACGGAGCUGGAGUGUGGCAGAGGGAGGUAGAAUUCCACGUGUAGCGGUGAAAUGCGUAGAUAUGUGGAGGAAUACCGAUGGCGAAGGCAGCCUCCUGGGCCAACACUGACGCUCAUGCACGAAAGCGUGGGGAGCAAACAGG